RNAcentral lists this ribosomal RNA (292 nucleotides) under uncultured bacterium. RNAcentral describes it as "partial 16S ribosomal RNA". It matches the Rfam family "Bacterial small subunit ribosomal RNA", at positions 505 to 796 of the family's 1533-position model. The record is from RNAcentral.
GUGCCAGCAGCCGCGGUAAUACAGAGGUCUCAAGCGUUGUUCGGAUUCAUUGGGCGUAAAGGGUGCGUAGGUGGCAAGGUAAGUCGGGUGUGAAAUCCCGGGGCUCAACCCUGGAACUGCACUCGAUACUGCCAUGCUCGAGUACUGGAGAGGAGACUGGAAUUUACGGUGUAGCAGUGAAAUGCGUAGAUAUCGUAAGGAAGACCAGUGGCGAAGGCGAGUCUCUGGACAGUUACUGACACUGAGGCACGAAGGCCAGGGGAGCAAACGGGAUUAGAAACCCUAGUAGUCC